Molecule: ribosomal RNA, 3659 nt
Filed under: Candidatus Woesearchaeota archaeon
Lineage: Archaea; Nanobdellati; Candidatus Woesearchaeota
Description: 23S ribosomal RNA
Rfam family: Archaeal large subunit ribosomal RNA
Source: RNAcentral
AGAAAAUAAGCUAUUAGGUGGAUGACUUGGCUCAAGCGCUGAAGAAGGGCGUGACAAGCUGCGAUAAGCUCUGGGUAGCCGCACGUAGGCUUUGAACCAGAGAUACCCUAAUGCGACUUCAGCAUUAAAUCCGAAAGGAUUGGGAACGCAGGGAAUUAAAACGUUUAAGUACCUGCAGGAGAAGAAAUCAAUUGAGAUGCUGUGAGUAACAGCGAGUGAAAACAGCGCAAGGCAAACUGAAUCCGCUGCAGAAAUGCGGAGGAGAUGUGGUGUUUGGUCCAUGUGUUAAAUUCCUAACCUGGAAAGUUAAAGUUGGCUGGAAAGCCGCGCCGUAGAGUGUGAUAGCCACGUAGACGUAACUGGGGAGGAGCUAGCAUGGUAAUCAGAGUACCGUUAACCGGAUACUUAACGGGAAUGCGGGAGGCAUCAACUUCCAACCUUAAAUACGUCUUGAGUCCGAUAGCAAACUAGGGUACAGUGAUGGAAAGUUGAAAAGAACCCUUAGCAGGAAGUAAAAAGAACCUGAAACCUAAUAGCAAUAGUCGGACACAGCGAUGAGUUGUGUCAUACGUUUCGAAUAACGUGCCAGGGAGUUUAUUCGAGUGGCAAGGGUAAUUCUUUAAAGGAAGCACCCGAAGCGAAAGCAACAUGCGCGCAAUUUAUGAGGCGCGUCGUAUGAAAAUGCGAGAAGUCACUCGGAUACGACCCGAAGCCAGACGAUCUAGCCCUUGGUAAGGUGAAGCCCGGGUAAAACCGGGUGGAGGCCUGUAGGGGUUCUACGAGCAAGUGUUCCUCUAACCUUGGGCUAGGGGUGAAAAGCCCAUCGAGUUUGGCGAUAGCUGGUUCCUAUCGAAGUUGGCCGCAGUCAAGCCUUGAGUAAGACAAUUAGAAUGGUAGAGCUACGGAUCAGGAGCUUAGGACCCGAAAGGGUUCGGCUCCUUGUCCAACUCCGAAUAAUCUAAUGUCAAAGAUCUCAAGAGACGGGGAAUGUUGGGGUAAACUUCAUUUCCGAGAGGGGAACAACCCAGACUAUAGUUAAGGUCCCUAAAUGUCAGCUAAGUGUUAACGGGGUAAGAGCGUCUAUUGUCUAAGACAGAGAGGAGGUUGGCUUAGAAGCAGCCACCCUUUAAAAAGUGCGUAACAGCUUACUCUUCAAGAUAAUAGGCCUUGAAAAUGGACGGGGCUAAGUUGAUUACCGAUACUAUAGACAUGCCAAAAGCAUUGUGGUAGGUAGGUGUUCUGUGAGGGCAGAAGUGCCUUCGAGAGUUGGUAUCGACCUCGCAGAAAUAAGAAUCCUGGCGAUAGUAGGAUCAUAGAAGAGUGAGAAUCUCUUCCACUGAAAGGGCAAGGGUUCCUUGGCAAUGCAGAUCAGCCAAGGGUUAGUUGGUCCUAACAUCGCUCAUAAAUUGAGCUGAGGAAAGGGCAAGAGGUUAAUAUUCCUCUACUAUUCAGGUAUGUGCGGCAACGCAAUUUCUGUUUCUGACGCAUUGGAGUAGACUAACACAGAUUGCUUUUUGUGUCAACCAUUAUAAAUCAGGGGAGUAUCUUAACGAUGAGAACCUGAUUAAAGAUGGGAUGAGUACUCCUUUGGAGUAUUUAGUUGAUCUCUGGUGCCCCUGAAAAAGGAACAGAAGAAAAUCUUGGAUAACCAUACCCAGAACCAGCACAGGUGUCCCUAGGUGAGAAGCCUAAAGUGUGAAGGGUUAAUCCAAUUGAGGGAACUCGGCAAAUUAGCCCCGUACCUUCGGUAUAAGGGGUCCCUGCUAUUGUCUCGCAAGAGGCGACAGCAGGGUGCAAUGACAAAGGGAGCCCGACUGUUUAACAAAAACCUAACUGACUGCAAGCCUGUAAAGGUGUGUAUAGUCAGUGACACCUGCCCAGUGCCAGUAAUUCAAACUCGGUUCCAACUGAGCUAAGAUCUGGUAAACGGCGGGAGUAACUAUAACUCUCUUAAGGUAAAACAUUACGGUUGCCUUAUCAAAAUCUGGCUAUAUGCUGGAAAAUCUGAGAAUCUCACGCUACCACUGGACAUUUGUGGGUCAAAUAUUUAAACUAAGACUCACAAGCGCUUAGAGGUGAAAAUGUGAUGAGUGCAGAUAAUCAGCAGGAAAGAUUAGACCCAAAUUGGAUAACUGGCUUUGUUGAUGGAGAGGGUUGUUUUUAUGUCGGUAUAAACCAGCAUAAUAAAACCAAACAAUGGCAAUUGCUUCCAGAAUUCCAAAUUGUUCAACAUAAACGUGACGAACAAGUGCUUCACAGAAUCCAGAAAUUUUUUGGAUUUGGUGCGGUGACGAUAAAUCACGGCGACAGAAAAGAGUUUCGUGUCAGGGGUUUAGAGAACCUCAACAAAAUUGUUGAAUUCUUUAAGUUCUAUAAAUUUCAGACACUUUCAAAACAAAAAAGUUUUGAAGUCUUUUCAGAAAUUAUUAAGAUGAUGAACGGGAAGGAACAUCUAAGUGAUGAUGGAAGGAAAAAGAUUGCAAAUCUGAUAUCUACCAUUAACAAGAAGGUUAUUCCAAAAUAUCUAAUAUCCUCAGAGACCAUACGCCGGAACUUGGAAACAAGUAAGAUAUGGUCCGACCCACUAAGCGAUUAGUGGAGACAUGCAGAAAUGCAUGCCCGCUUUCAAAAGAAAGUCUUCAAGUAACAGAAGUGAGCGUAAUACCUUGUCGAUUGAAUGUCGACUUGCACGAGUGGUGUAACGAGGUUCCCCCUGUCCCCAGUUGGAUCCCUCCGAACACUCCUUCCUGGUGCAGAAGCCAGGGAUUUCCAGUGGGAAGUGAAGACCCCGUGAAACUUUACUGUAGCUUAUUGUUGCGGCGUGAGCUCUGUUGUGUAGUGUAGGUGGUAGUUUAGCCAAUCGCAAGAAAGGCUAAACGAAAAUGAAACACCACUCUUCGGAGCUUACGCUGCUAACUCAGCAAUGAGGACAGCAGUUGGUAGACAGUUUGGCUGGGGUGGCACCCUGUUGAAAAGAUACGGCGAAUGCGAGAUAUCGAGGAUAAAUUCACGCAUUGCUCGACUUUAUAUCAACAGGGCCCAAUGGUUGGCUCAAGCGGGUCAGCAAUCCGCUGUAGAGUGCAAGGGCAAAAGCCAGCCUGACAGGAUGACUAACAAUAUGGCAUCCUGAGUAGAAAUACUGGCCUAGCGAACCUCUAUGUCCUCCUUGAUGGGGGCUAGAGAUGACAGAAAAGUUACUCCGGGGAUAACAGAGUCGUCUCGCCCGAGAGUUCAUUGGUUAGGAAGGCGAAAAAUUGCAAUCAAAAAUUCAAUCCGUGAUUUGCUUCGCAAAUCACAGCAUAUACUCGCCGGCGAGGCUUGCUACAUCGAUGUCGGCUUUUCCUAUCCUGGCUGUGCAGAAGCAGCCAAGGGUGCGGGUGUUCACCGAUUAAAAGGGAUCAUGAGCUGGGUUCAGAACGCUGUGAGGCAGUUUGUUUAAUAUCUACUGGAAAUGCAGAUGUCAGAAAGGAAGGACUUUCUAGUACGAGAGGAACGGAAGUUCGGCGCCUCUGGUCCACCUGUUGUCCGGCAGGGCAGGCAGGGCAGCUACGCGCUAAGGGAUAAGUGCUGAAAGCAUCUAAGCACGAAACCCGCCUUGAAAAGAGACAUCAUAGGACACUUGUAAAACACAAGUUUGAUAGAAGCGGUGUGUAAGCACG